Molecule: ribosomal RNA, 301 nt
Filed under: uncultured bacterium
Lineage: Bacteria
Description: partial 16S ribosomal RNA
Rfam family: Bacterial small subunit ribosomal RNA
Source: RNAcentral
CAGUCGCCGCGGGAAUACAGAGGGUGCGAGCGUUAAUCGGAUUUACUGGGCGUAAAGCGUGCGUAGGCGGCUAAUUGAGUCGGAUGUGAAAUCCCCGAGCUUAACUUGGGAAUUGCAUUCGAUACUGGUUAGCUAGAGUGUGGGAGAGGAUGGUAGAAUUCCAGGUGUAGCGGUGAAAUGCGUAGAGAUCUGGAGGAAUACCGAUGGCGAAGGCAGCCAUCUGGCCUAACACUGACGCUGAGGUACGAAAGCAUGGGGAGCAAACAGGAUUAGAUACCCGAGUAGUCCCUGUCUCUUAUAU